GACGUCAUCCCAGCUGCCAAUCAAAGUGAUCUUCAAGCCAGGCCCUGCCCACCGCCAAAAUGCGCUCGGCGUGUUCGACUGACAACUGAUUGCAAGAAGAAGAAGAAGAAGAAGAAGAAGAAAACGACGACGACGAAGAAGAAGUCGAAGAAGAGCAAACCUGCCGGCCGGCGGACUGACUGACCGACCGACUGACAGACUGACUCCCACUGCGUUGCUUCGGAAUGUUCUUGGAAAGCAGCGGACGAGCACUUGAAGGUGCACGCUGAGAGGACCGCGGCCGUGUUCCAAAAGUGCAGCUCUGCUCUCUCCUGACGUCACUGGAGCAAAAGAAUUUGAGCAAUGCCGAGCAGCUGGUGGCCUCGCGGACGGUGCAGGACAACCGCACGAUCUGCAGCAAAAACGAGCAGCCUUUCCCUCCUCUCCCACAAGAGAAAAGCCUUGCUGGGUCCAAACCACUGGAGAGAAAAGGAACCCGGGACGUGAUAUCAUUCACUGCCGUACAGUUUCAAAGUCAACUGAUUUAGAGCAUUUUGACUCGACGACUAUUGUCUUCUGUGUUGAUAGAGGCAUCAAACCUACCAAGAGAGUCGAAUCUGUUCUUUCACCAGAAAUGAAAACUUUUGUUUCAAGCCAACAUCAAGCAACUAGUGAUCAAGCGAUGUGUUUUUUUUUUCUUAUUUGGCUUUUGUGACACUCCAAACUACAAAAAAAUCAAAAAUGUGACCGAGGAAUAGCUUAUGAUGUCCUAAUAAUAAUAUAACAGUAUUUACAAGAGAGACACAACAACUGUUUUUUUUUCCCCCCCCCAUCGAUACGGAUGACUGAUAACUAUAAUGAU
Hippocampus zosterae (dwarf seahorse) is the source of this 841-nucleotide long non-coding RNA. RefSeq lists it as uncharacterized. NCBI's taxonomy places the organism in Eukaryota, Metazoa, Chordata, Actinopteri, Syngnathiformes, Syngnathidae. The record is from RefSeq and is a predicted model, not a curated record. The transcript has 3 exons.